ACAUUUGCCCGUGUUGCCAUACGUUUUCUAGGUUGUGCAGACUGCAAUGAUGCAAAGGCAAUUACGUUUCUCCGCUGUAUAUUGUUCUCGGCCACAUCCGUUUCCGGUCGGACAGCUUAUCCGUAAGCAAAAUCUACAAUUUUUCAAUUUCACACGAAUUCGCAACAAUUGCGGUUCGCCAGUUUCUAUGCGUGUGUAUUUUUUUUUUUUUUUUUAAUUAUAAUAUUUAUAGUAAACCGACUACUCAGUUCAGUUAAGUGUUAUUUAAAUUAAAAAAGUGUAUAUUUAUGCGAUUUCAAGAUUUUUUGUUUUUAUUGUUCCGACAGUUCCGAACCCGAAUUAAUAUUUAAACGUAAACUAUAAGUAAACAUUAUACGAUUAUAUUAUGUCGAAAUCUUUAGAUACGUUUUGUAACAAAUGUGAUACACUACGUUCGUAUACACCUAUAAUUGUGACGAUUUAUCGAUACCAACAAAUUGACCAACAACUAUACUCAAUGUUAACAAGAAUCGAAGCAUACUGAAUUCGAACUUUCUAUGAGAUAUUGGAAGAGUAUUUGAAGUUUUCCAAACGUUUUAAAUAUAAACACGGGUGUAACUAAUUUACUACAAUGUUGAUCAACGAGGUAACAUGAUUAGACUAGUCAUCGCAUUCACACACAAAUACUCCUGGACAAACAUCUGAAUCAUCAGUUUACCAAAAACCAAUUUCACUCGAAUUUAUGCAUUGUGGACACAGAAGUAAAUUAAAAUUAGGCAAAAGUGGAUUGCAGAUAAAAUGAAAAUUUCCAGGAAUUAAUUAAUAUUUCGUGCAGUCAUCGAAUGUACACGCGGUUCACGUGUGUACAACGGUGUUUGUUUAUUUUUUUUUAUGUAAAAAAAUAAAAUAACGUUAUAAUAGCGCUAGAAGAAAAAACAUUUGAAGUUUGUGAGGAAGUACACAAACACGUCAAUUCGCAUCGGGGCGGUUUUGAGCGACCGGCCGAAAAGGGAUGCACCAGGAGGGUCCUGUUC
Molecule: long non-coding RNA, 1013 nt
Organism: Sipha flava (yellow sugarcane aphid)
Lineage: Eukaryota; Metazoa; Arthropoda; Insecta; Hemiptera; Aphididae
Exons: 3
Source: RefSeq, a predicted model, not a curated record